GUUUUUUGUAAAGUGUGAUUUCUGUCACUUAAAACACUAUGGGAAACUUUCAAAUUAAUUAAUUUAAUUUAAUUUAAUUUAAUUAAUUCAUUGAUGAAGCUAAACCUAUAUUUGCGCUUUCGGAAAAAUGUAUAAGAGUAUUUUCACAAGCUGGGGGUCCUCUUUAGUUUUAAUGGAUGCUAGUACCAUGACCUUUUUUCUUGAAAAGCUCAUGGAAAACUUCAGGGCAGGGGGAUGAAAUAUUUUGAUUGGCAGAAAAGAUGGGAUGUUUAUAAUUUUAAUCAAAUUUAGAAUCAAGACAUACUUCAAAUAAUAUGUCAGACUAGUGUUAAUGAGUUUAAAAUCUAAUGACAACAGCUGUCAUUAUUAGUUAAAUAUAGCCAAUGUGCCUAUGGCAAUAAGUGACACUUCUGAACAUGUAGAAACAAAAAAUUCUCAAGUAUUUAGAGAAAAGGGAGUGACUGUAAACUUAUCUAAACCCAGGAAUGUGACCUGGGCAUAAUGUAUUUCCCAAGUACAGAGGCUUCUGUAAUUUGGACAAAAGAAGUAAUUGAAUGCAACAUUACGUGUUGUUACUACUAGAACGCUCAUAUUUUAGGAAACUUGGACAUUUUUCUUGUUUCAUAAAUAUAUUUCAGAGAAGUUUGUAAUUUGUUACAUUAUAUAUUAAAAAGUUUCAGAUUAAUUUCUGCAUUACUGUGUUGUUCCCUUUAAAAUGCAUUGCUCGGUUUUCAGAAUCUUUAUUAAAAAGUAUUAACUGGGGAAAUUGUGCCCUGUGUUUAAUAGAAACAAAUAUUUUUUUGCAGAUUAAGUUUUGGAUUUAUGAGGUUAUCAAAGUUCAAUUAUACAUUUAUUGGAAUUUAUUUCUAACAGGAUGUGAGAAAAGGGAAAGAAAUUAUAUGUGUAUGUACAUAUAAAUAACACAGUACGUAUCAUACUAUAUCAGUGUAUUUGUAAUACCAUUUGGUAGUUCCUUUAAGCCUGGAAGUCUGUUUCUUUUUAUUAUCAUUUAAAUAAAGUUUCUUAUAACUGUGUAAAUCUUGUUAUGCAAUGAUGAUGUAAAACAAUCCAGAAUGAAGGAGGUAGGUGAUGGGAAAACAAGAAAACUGAGUUACUAUAUUUUGAAAUAAGUUUGUUGUAUUGAAAAAUUUAUUUAAUGCUUAUAAAUUACCUGGACUUAGAUCAUGAAUCAUCAGUUCAGUAUUUAGAUAGGGAAUUUCAAAUUAAAAUGUAAGUGCUCUGUGAAUCUAUAUUUGUAAUUCUGUAAGCCAUGUUCUUCAACCUUUUUAGCAAACUCUUGUGUCUUCAUAUCACAAGGAAUCCUUUUGCUGCAGGAAGGGAUUACAUGAAAUAGGGAUAUGAAAUAUAAUUCUGACAUUUUGAGAUGAUUUAAAAAAUUUGCAACCACUUUAAUUAGCAGUACCAACGUUACCAUGUGUUUUGAGACAGUUCCACUUCGGUAAUGCACUCUACUUAUCCACAGGUCUAACUGUCAUUUCAGUUUACUGAGUUAAUCUUCACUUUCUGUACAAAAGUUUUUACUAGUUUUGCUGAUCUUGUUUAGACAUUUCAACAACUAACAUUAAGCACAAUACCAACCAUAUUUAUUUUUUGACAAUUAUGAUACUUUAUAAUAUAAACUAAAUAUUGUGUAUAAAAAGCUAGGUUAAGAUUUGUAAAUUUGCAAAAUCAAGCACCUAGUGAUUAAGACAACAAAUCACAUGGUGACAGGAUUAUUGAAAACCACAGAAUAAUUCAGUAUGUGAGGUGCCCCUGCAGGUCAUCUGCUCAAAGCAGGGCUGACUUCGACAAGUAGGCUAGGUUGUUUGGGGCAUUCUCCAGUUAAAUUCUGAAAAUUUCCAAAGAUGGAGAUUCCUCAGCUUCUCUGGGCAAGCCAUUUCACUGCUUAAUUACUGUGAUUCUUUUUCGCCUUACAUUUAGUUAAGUCUUCCCAUGCUGUGUCUGUGACUGCUUUAUCAUGUCCUUUCAUUGUGCCUCUAUGAGAGUCUCUCUCUCUCUUUUCUAUGUAGGUUGCUCUGAAAGUAAUUCCUCCUAUUUGUUUCCAUGGAAGUGACAACACUGUUUGAUAGAGCAAAUUCUCAGCUACUGAACACUAUUUUUCAACGUUGUCAGCUCCAUUAGCUAUGCAUUUUCACCAGUGUUGAAGAAGAGUGUGCAUGCCUUGCUGGUACAAAUCUGUACCAGUGGAAAUGACACAUUGUUUCACAGUUGACACAAUGUCAUUGUUCCUAGGAAAAUGUUGCCCAUGCAGUCCGUCUUUCACUGGCCUGAAGAGAUGGAAGUCAAAAGGUGCUAAAUCUGGAUCAUUCGGUAGGGCAGUCCAGCCAAGGUAGGCAAUGUAAUUUACAGUCUUUAAACUGAUACGGGGCCUGGCAUUAUUGUGUAUUUCUGCACAGAGGAAUUCAGUUCCACACCUUCAUCUGCACUUCUGUGUCAGAUGCCUUUCUGUCAGACUGCCCCAUUGCUGCCACCUUUUGCAUGGCAACAAAAUGUAACGGAAUAUUGGUGGUUGAACCUUUACUGUUAUACCACCAACAUCUGCCACUGAUGUUAUGGGCUAACAUAAUGAAAUAGGAGGUAUUAUUUUCAGAGCAGACCUCGUAUGUCUUGCUAGUGGAUUCCUGGUUUGUGAAUCCCAGGAGAUAAAUUCCACACUUCUCAAAUCAGGAAGGGUCACGGUGGUGGCAUAAGGAUGUGCAGCCACAUUAAUGUUCAGAUGAUUUCAGGUAGCAAAAGUAAUUUCUUGCUGUGAAUAAGGGAACACAAAGACACUCAAGUGGCUGAUUUUAUGUCUUGGUCUGAAACAGUGAAAGCAUGCUCACUGCCUUGUAGUGCCUGUCCUCUGUGCAUGUAGCAGAUUCAUUGAUGUCUUGUUUAGCCCUGGCUAGAAACGAAUGGUCAUGCUUAGUAUUUUUUGGCCAUUAAUAUCUUAGAAGGCUUAUUCCUAUUGUGUUUGAAGCCUCCUUGCAGGCUUAUACUGUAUAGACAAGCUUGACUUUCAGAGUAAUUCUCCCACCAACCCUAAGGGGUAUUUUAGAGAUAACCUUAAAGGGUGGGCAAAAUGUGUCUUCAUCGCAUUCUUUGGCUUAGGCAGCAGUAAUCUUCCUAAAUUUGCCUUACGGCAUCUAUUUGCUCUUAUUGUUCAAGGCCAAGCAGUCUGUAGGUUUCACUUUCUGUCAUUUUUCAUUAUAAUUUCAAUCGGCUGCCAGUUCUUUUCCAAGUAUCAGUCUGCUCAGGAAAAAGUCAAACUACACUUAUUAAUGUUGAUACCUAAACAGAAAAAAACAUUCUUUUACGGUUACCCCAGCCAAGCAGUAACACUUCCUUGUAUGAGGAAUAAUAAAUCAGUAAUAACGAACACUUCCCAGUUGUUUAAUAAGGACUUAAACACACAAGGUUGUUAAUGCCAUUCAGUGAAGUCUCUGCAUUUCUCAAUCUAGCAUUGUUAAUUUAGCCAUUAGAGGCAAGAACUAGUGCUGUUUGUCUGCAUCCUACCUGAUGUUCAAGUUUUAUGUAUGCUGAGUAAAAUGCUAUUUGGAGUCUGUCUACCUACUGCUACUGGCGUUGGCAAAGUCCUUUGAUGGUAAAACCUGAUCAGGGACUGUUGUGUACUUUAGCAGCUGAUUUCUAAUGAAUUCAUAUAAUGUGCCCAUGCCAAUUGGAUUUCACAGUGGCUACAGAACACAUUCCAGAGAACUGUAAAUGUAUAUGUGCUGUUUGAAAGACAAACAUAAGGCAAAAUUUGUAAAUUUACAAGGAACAAGAAGAGUUCUGGCAAAAAAAAAAAAAAAAAAAAAAAAAAAAUCAGGAAAAUUAUAUAUGUGAUGUAUAUGUGUUAACAAGUACAGCACAUAAAAAUCAGAUCUAUGGAAUGAAGCAAUUAGUACAAAGUAACUUAGUUCCGCACUGCACAAAUUUUAAGAGAUUCUACUCUGGGCUAGCUCUUGUCUGUGCAAUGGACUAAUGGAGCUGCUUAGAGUAAACUGUUUAUUCACCCAAAUCAGUUUGUAUACUCUGACACAGUUCUGUGAUGUGAAUGAAAGUACGUUAAGUGGAAGCUGUAAGUUCCUCACUUAAAAACUACAGUAUUUGUUUAAACUAGAAAGCUAACAUAGAUGCAUCCUUGUAGAGGGAAAAAGACUUCACUAGUUUGUAAAUGCCUCAAAAUAAAACUUAUUUGCAUAUUGAGAAAUAAUUAACUUCGGUUACAAAAUGACCCCCACUGGAGUAAUAGUUUUGUAAAUGCACAUUCUCUGUCAUGAUAAAUGUCUGUAUCAGAACUUAAUUCAGUAAUGUUAUCUAAUUUAAACUGAGGAUCUGAUCCAUUGACUUUAGAAUCCACCGUGAGGUUCCAUAGGUUGACAGUCACAGAGGAUAUAUAAUAAAGAAACUAAUCCAUGGCUUACUUUUUAAUUGUUUUUUUUACAUUCAUUGCCUAUAUCAGUGUUGGUGUAACAAAAAAUUGUGUUUUGUCUUAGACCAGCAAAUCAUCAUGAAAUCUGGGCUGCUUAUAUUUGCUGCUUGUAUAUGUGGGUUAGAGAAUCCGUUAAUGUACUCAACAUAUACUCUGUAUUUAAUAAGAAUGUAGCCUCAUGAUGUAAAGAUUUGUGAAUAGAAACAUUUUUCAAAAGAACUGUCAUGCACCUACGAAGUCCAACUGUAAUAAAUCAGUAUGAGACUUACAUUUUUGAACUUAUGUACACGGACUCAUUCCAUUAACGUCAAUUGUCCAUCACAAGACUAAGGAUCAAAUUUUUAACUGAGUUAAUCAUCUACCUCCCAGUAAUUUUAGUGAACUUAGAUUAUUAAAUAAUUUUUAAAGGCCACUAGUUCUUAUGUUUUGAAUACAUUAUUAUGAAUAAAAUAUUUAUUGCUGCAGUAUUGCUAGAUACUUCCUGUUUAUAUUUUGUGUGCAAUGUACACUGAUAUUCUUUAAAGAUUUAAUUGUAAGUGCAUUUUGUGCAGAGCACUACACCACUUAGAGGUCAAUUUCUAGUGUUCAGAAAAGAGGGAAACAAACAGUCGAUGUGAAAUAAAGGUGUCAUCUGUAUGAUGCAGUGUCAGAUAUGAAAUUCAAGUGAUGUACAAGAGGGUCAGGCUUAAUUUUUCUGAAGCAGAAGAAAUGAGAGACAUUUCAUUUUUGUAGGUGAGAAGUGAAAUGUUCCUCUCUGCUCACUGAAAGAGGCAUGCUAAGGUGAAUUUUAAUUAUGACUAAAUUGUGGUAUUACUCUUUCAUACCCUGAACAUCUGUUCCCUUCAGGAAUGAUGAUUUAUGCAGGCUAUCACUGCAGACAGCUUGCUACAGCUUAUGUCACGGUUAGUAGGAAGCUGGUGGUAGAAUUUCAGAAAAUACCAGCGUCUAAGUGAAGACAGGCCAGUGUGUAUUUUUAAGGUAAUAUGGAAAGGGGAGCACGAUAUGUCCAUUUUUAAUUUUGAAGCCAAAUAUUGACUUUACAUUUUUUUUCUUUUUCUUUCAGACCAUCUGUCAUUAAUGAGGAAAGUAACUCGGAUAGUGAAUGGCCUGGUUCUUCAUAACAGUUUCAACAAAAAGAAAAUGAAGCUGUCAUUUCCAACUGCAUGUAGAAUAUUGUUGACAAGAAUUCUGACAGGUUUAUAGUGUUUAAGAACUGGAUAGGGCAGGAUAAUUCCAAGACUAUUGCAUCACAAAAUCAAAUUGAAAAGGUAACCUUUGUUUAUUAACAUGUAUGAAUGCAUCUUCAAAUUACCUUCAUUGCUACCACUGGUUUAUUGUUUUCCUGUAACUAUAGAUUAUUCUUAUAAAAAGAAACCAAAAACUCUUUUGAAUUACAAAGCCUUGGAAUUCAACAAAACUAGGGGUUAUAUUUAAGUUCAUGUUACUUAAGAAAAAUAAGGUAAAAUUUUCUCAGUGAACCUUCUCCCCUGAUAGCCCUCCUGCUCUUUAACCUACACUUCUUUACCCAGUAAUCAGCCUAGCUUAUGAUUAUGCCUAUUUUUGUGUGUUCUAACAAUAUAUGUAAUAGAGGAUUUAUUAACAAGGAAUAUUAUUUCUAAGUUUAUCUGAGGCAUGGAUAAUGUAUUUGAAAAUACAGCCAAGUUUGAUUAUAUCUGUCUUAAAAUAAAAAAAAUUAAUUAAAAUAAAAAAAAAUAAAAAAAUAUCUGUCUUAAAAUAUAUAACACCGUAACCACAUAACAAAGUAUUUCAAAGUUACACUCUGUGCAAUUUUUUUCAUCUAUAGUAUUUUUUGGUAAUUUAGUAGGUUUUAGGGUAAUACACUCUUUGUUUUCAGGUAAAUCUAGAAGGUUGAAUAAUAACUUCUACAUUCAUUGUGAUAAGUAUAAUUAAAAUACUCAGAUCAAACUUGUACAUACUCUUGUACACUGGAGCAAAAAGAUUCAGCAGUGAUUUUUAAACUUCACAACAAAUCAGUAGCUUGAUAAAGUGUUAAUCAACCUUUGUCUUUUUUCCAUGGGGAUAUUUUUGAUCUGGACCAUUAAUUAUUGAACUGUCAUCUACGAGGCCUUAUACUUCUUGUAAUGGGUAUCCAAAAGCAACUGAGGGUAGAGUUUUGAGCAUGUUUAAAGUCAGUGUACUCCAGCACUGCUGUUAAAAGAAGCUGUCUUGGCCUCCACCGUUUUUAUCCAGUCAUUGUAGACCUUCUGCAACUCCAUGGGUAGCAUAAGGGUUUUGUUUCAUCAUUCCAUGAACCACACAGGGGAGCUGGUAUAGGUAAAAGAUAAACCAGUUAAAAUUGUCAGUUUUAAUUGGGAAUAGUUUCUAGAAUCUUGUUCUCUGCACAGCCCCAAAAUGCUGUUGUGUUUUCUCUGAAAGACAAAAAUUCUUUGGAAAAUUCUAGUCUGUACUUCUCGGUUCAGGGAAAGGAGAACUAAAGCCAAAGUUAUAUGUUUACAUGCAAUUCACAUUUGCAUUUUAUACGAGCAUCUGAUCCUCCAGUGAACAAUGAAUGUAUCAAGAUACACACAUUGAAAUAAAUUCAAAAUAUGUGUCUCAGGUAUUCAAUACAACUGUAAGUACAAAAUAGAAGUACUUUUAAAUCUUCAAAAUAAUAUUUUAUGCUGUCUAGUGAUUUAAAAAAGUAAACAUAUUUCUUGCUUAUAAAUCGGCAAUGAAAGACUGUACAAAUUGCAAUACUGUGUCAGACUGGAAUUUAAUCUAACCUAAUAUCCUAUCUUUGAGUGAAUAUUCAAAGACAAGUGGAAGGAUGAGAACAGUAUGCGGCACGUAUGAUGUGUACGAUAAUUUUUAAGCAUAUUUUCCUCAUUCGACCAACUCCAGUCCUGAUGUACUCAAAUCACAAACAGUGUGUCAGAAGCAGUGCAUUUUCCUGUUGCUUGAAAGAAAUAUUGAUAUUUGAACAGGACAUGAGUUGUUCCCUUUGCAGUUUAAUUUCUUAAGCAUGAUUUAAAAAAUCAAUUAAAAUGUGUUUUCUUUUUUUUAAUGUAUAAUAAGCAAAAUAGCAGAUUGAUACUGCUCUGCAAAAAUAAUCUCUGUAGACAGUAACAAUUUAUUUUCUGACUUAUACCUAUUAAUGAAAAAGUGAACUGUCUGUGCAAAGAAUGAUGUGAGCAGGGAGGUCUCAAAUACAACUGAAAAACGGAGAAUGUUUGAUUCUUUUUGUUCUGAACCUCUGUAAAAAGUGAUAGCAUUCUCACUUGAGAUAUGCUAGAUCCAUCUCAAUGAAGAGCCUAAAUAACACAGUGAACUGUCUCUUUUUCAAUUCUCAAAAUCUGCUAGACUGAUCUCAAGAUCUGCUAGACUGUACCAUUUACUUACUGGACAGAUUUCUGAUGGAAAAGCAGCAUACCGACCAUAUAGCUGCCAAUAUGAAGCUGGUGGUUAUCAAAUAGGAAUCACAAUUCAUUGAAGAAUUCAUUGAAGAAUGUUUGUUUUCUUUUUCUUUGUUUGUUUGUGUUUGUUUUUUUUUUCAUGCUAAAGAUGCCCAUCAUUAUGCAGUUAAAUCCAGAAAGAUUAAUAACCGUGUUUAUAAAAUUUGAAAGAAGACGUGAGAGAGAUUUUUUUGUCUUCCAUGCAUAUUUGAACUGGUAUGAAGCAAUUUUUCUCUUCUGUCAAAGUUUAGAAAAUUUCUGAAGUAAUCUUAGUGAGUCUUUUUACCUUCUCAAAUAUAUAUAUAUAUUUUAAUUAUUUUUUUUAAGACAGACUAGAAUUUGAAAUGGGAGACUCAAGUAAAGGUUCAGAUUCUGUUUUGUUCUGAUUGGGCUAGAAUCUGAUAUUACCAAAUUUAUUUGAGAGGAGUAUUCUCAGCUACACAUCUGCCUAGAAAGCUAAGGACCACUAGUUGUAAGAAAUCGGAAACUACAACUACUGGAGGACCUUGAGUCCACUUACAGAAAUUGUGUCAUAUGUUUUCCUAUUUUUUUCCUUGCCAGAAAAUGAGUUCAGAGUUAAAGUAGAACUGGAUCAGAAAUAUGGCAUUUGGGCAAAAAUAAGGCAAAUUUUUGGAAAAUGGGCAAGAAGGAGAAAAUGUGCUGAAUUUUAGCAAACCUUAGUGGUAUGCAACACCUUCGGAAAAGUUCCAUGUUUGCGCAUGUUAGAGCAGCAUUAAAAAUAGUGAAAUUAAAUCUGAAAGUGAAAAACAGAGAAAAAAGGCUGAGAAACACAAAACUUUAUUCAUGGUGUAUUUUCUUUGUUUUAUUUUAAACUAUAAUUUUUGAAGAGGUGGUAUCGCUCCGAAGUUUGAUGUGCAGUGACAUCUGCGUAGAUUUUGUUGAGGUGAUUGAAAACUGAGUAUGAAUUUUAAUUCUCCAGUAAGAUAGUACUACAAUAUAUGUGGAGAAAUCACUGGCAAUGUUAUAAGUACUCCUGUGCUUGACAGAUGCCUGCAAAAUUCCAUCACUCUUUUCAAUGGACCUGUUUGGGUCUCUGAGAGAGAAGGUUUCAGCCUCUUAAGAGCAAAGAUUUAUAUCCAAGAAGCUCUAUUGGCCCUGCACCAACGAUUGCAAGUCUGCAAACUGUUGCAAGCCGCUGCACUGAAGAAACAAUGUAUGUGCAACAAAGGGAUGGAGACUUUUACACAAUUUGCGAGUUAAAAAACAUUCCUGGGAAGUUAAGCAUUCAUUAGAGUGCUCCUGAAGGUAUGUUUUUCAAUGCAUUUUACUAACAUGUAUAGAAAUGUCAUGAAGGAUUAAUAAAAUUAAUGCCAUAUUACUCCUGAUUCUCCAUGUUUUUGCACCUGAAAAGAUGUGUUAACAAUGUCACAAUGAAUAUAAAAUACUGGAAACUCAAAUGCAAAAUGCUAGCUGUUUAUUGCAACUUCACAUCAAUUCUGUAGAAAGCUAUACAAGUUGGAAGGAAAUACGGUAUCGUAUCACUUCUGACAUGAUGUGAAUAUUCUUGUGUUUCUCACAAGAUCUAAGGAAGUGAGUAUUUUUUCUAUGGCUGUAAGAAGAAAAGUAGGAAAGUGUAAAUUGUGUAUUUCUAAUCUGGAUGAUCAGCCAGGAAACUUGCCAAUUUUUUUUUAUUUUCUUAUUUUUUAUUCUAGGUCUUUAACUUAAUCAUAGCAAACCUUGCUUUUGCAGAUUUGUAUUCCUGCUCUGUUUUGUGUGUGAAUUAUUAAUUCUUCAUCUAAUGUUUGUUUUUGAAAAAAUAUAUAUUUUUCUCUAUGUAUUCACUUCCUUUUUGUUUAUAUAACAUAAUUUUCCUAACUUCAUUUAACUCUUUUUGGAAUGCUAGCCCAGAUGGAGUACCAGUUUCCUCAUAUCAUUAAUCCUGAUCUGAUUAACAAAAUGUAUAACAAUAAUGUAGAUAUGAUAUUACCAAUAAUAUUUUGAUGUUCUCUAAGCCUUGCUAGAAUCUAGUUAAAAUUAACAGAGAUUGAAUUUUUAAAAAGUAGUGAGGAAGUAGCAGGAUGAAAAGAUUUAACUAAAUGUCUUUUCUCUUUUCCAUUCUCACAUGAACACCAGGAAUUAGCAUACAUUUGAAAAACUUGUAUAAACAGGGCAAAGAGGG
This 9988-nucleotide long non-coding RNA is filed under the name Gallus gallus (chicken). RNAcentral's name for it is "lncRNA (ENSGALG00010024037.1)". Lineage: Eukaryota; Metazoa; Chordata; Aves; Galliformes; Phasianidae. The record is from RNAcentral.